UGCAUCUUAAGGCUCCGCCUUGUGUUGAGAUUUCCUGGCAAGGAAUUCUCCAAGCAUCUGGGCGUCUGUCGUGCCUGAACCGCAACACACUGCGAGUAGGGAAGUCGGCUGGCGCCACGCAAACCGUCUA
Molecule: unclassified non-coding RNA, 130 nt
Filed under: uncultured Leotiomycetes
Lineage: Eukaryota; Fungi; Ascomycota; Leotiomycetes
Description: sequence contains ITS2
Source: RNAcentral